Molecule: ribosomal RNA, 926 nt
Filed under: uncultured bacterium
Lineage: Bacteria
Description: bacterial SSU rRNA
Rfam family: Bacterial small subunit ribosomal RNA
Source: RNAcentral
GACGAACGCUAGCGGUGUGCCUAAUACAUGCAAGUCGAACGGUUCUUUCUUUGAUGAAGCUUCGGCAGAUUCGUUGAAAGAAUAGUGGCGAACGGGUGAGUAAUGCAUGAGCAAUCUGCCCUAAAGACCGGGAUAAGCUUUCGAAAGGAAGUCUAAUACCGGAUAAUAAAAUCAGAUCGCAUGAUUUGAUUUUCAAAGGUAGCUUUUUAAGCCUCUGCUUUUGGAUGAGCUCAUGUCCUAUCAGCUAGUUGGUGAGGUAAAGGCUUACCAAGGCCAAGACGGGUAGCCGGUCUGAGAGGACGGUCGGCCACACUGGGACUGAGAUACGGCCCAGACUCCUACGGGAGGCAGCAGUAGGGAAUCUUGCGCAAUGGGCGAAAGCCUGACGCAGCGACACCGCGUGGAGGAUGAAGGUUUUCGGAUCGUAAACUCCUGUCAAUAGAGGAAGAAGGUAUUAUAGGUGAAUAGCUUAUAAUAUUGACGGUACUUUAUAAGGAAGCCCCGGCUAACUACGUGCCAGCAGCCGCGGUAAUACGUAGGGGGCGAGCGUUCACCGGAUUUAUUGGGCGUAAAGCGCACGCAGGUGGCUUUUCAAGUCGGAUGUGAAAUCUCUUAGCAAAACUAAGAAAUUGCAUCCGAAACUGGAUUGCUUGAGGUCGGGAGAGGAGAGUGGAAUUCUCGGUGUAGCGGUGAAAUGCGCAGAUAUCGAGAAGAACACCAUUAGCGAAGGCGGCUCUCUGGAACGAUACUGACACUAAGGUGCGAAAGCUAGGGUAGCAAACAGGAUUAGAUACCCUGGUAGUCCUAGCUGUAAACGAUGGGCACUGGAUGUAGGAAGAUAUCGAUUCUUCCUGUGUCGUAGCUAACGCGUUAAGUGCCCCGCCUGGGGAGUACGACCGCAAGGUUAAAACUCAAAGGAAUUGACG